Gigantopelta aegis is the source of this 135-nucleotide small nucleolar RNA. RefSeq annotates it as small nucleolar RNA SNORA11. The record is from RefSeq and is a predicted model, not a curated record. Lineage: Eukaryota; Metazoa; Mollusca; Gastropoda; Neomphalida; Peltospiridae. The transcript has a single exon.
GGUGUGUGCCCAGGACAGCGUGCUUGAACAAUUAUUGUUCAAGCACGCCGUCCUGGGCACACACACAUCAGCUAUCUGUGUUGUCUAUAUAUAUAUAUAUAUAUAUAUAUAUAUAUAUAUAUAUAAUAAAAAUAA